CAGCCCACACGGGACCACAGAUCAGCAACCCUUCAAAUCUGGAGCGUGAAUGAUUUCAUCGAUGGUGCUAUUCGGGGAUAAACAAACAUGAGGUCUGUGAGGGUCUCCCAAGCUCACGUGCUUCACUGACAUCCUGUGCGGCUUGUGUAAAACGACCACAUGGGGCUUGAGCAGCUCGCCCCUGAAAUGGUCUGUGCUCCUCUAGGAUUCGGCCCUGAGGUGGAGUCAGGAGGCAAAGAGGAGAGAGAAGUGUCCUUACAUGGGAUCAGAUGCGCGUGCGCGCAUGUGUGUCUGUGUGUGUGUGAAUGGAAACGGAAGAUCUUUGAACUUCACGUAUGUUAACUAGACAAUCUCUUUUCAGGUUAAGAUAUGCCAUAUGACCGUUUUGGGGGUCCUUUUUGGUAGAGCAAAAAAGUAUUGUAAUGUCAAUACCAUAUUUUAAAAAAUUGUAACCUAUUAAUAUUAACAGGUAAGAAUGAGGUAAUUACUUCAUGGAAGAUGCUAAGUGCUGGCAUCUAUAGUCUUAUGAAAUGCAGAGCUGUAGAAUUGGCUGAGUUGGUGUCGCUAAUCUUUAUAUUUACAACUUGGAUUUUUAAAUGUUAAUGUUCACCUGAUUUUAAAUGCAGUUUCUUUUUCUGCUUAUUUAUAUAUGUAAUUCCUUUUUUUUUUUUUUUAGUAUAUGUGCUGCCGAAGCGAGCACAUAUAUAUGUAAUUCUUGAGUUAACUUAUUAUAAAUCAAAAGCUACAAAUUUCUAAUUUAGUGUCUGGUUUUACAGAUCCCUGACUCUUCAUUAACGUCUUGAUUUAUAAACAAUGGACCAAAAGUCCCAGCUGCUGGAUGCAAAAACUUGCACAGGAUUUACGCACUCUAAGAUUCCUGCUAUUCUCUUCCCAU
This is a long non-coding RNA of Dama dama (fallow deer), 895 nucleotides long. RefSeq lists it as uncharacterized. The record is from RefSeq and is a predicted model, not a curated record. NCBI's taxonomy places the organism in Eukaryota, Metazoa, Chordata, Mammalia, Artiodactyla, Cervidae. The transcript is spliced from 3 exons.